ACGGCGAGUGAAGCGGCAAGAGCUCAAAUUUGAAAUCUGGCCUCCCCCGGGGGCCCGAGUUGUAAUUUGCAGAGGAUGCUUCGGGUGCGGCCGCCGUCUAAGUUCCUUGGAACAGGACGUCAGAGAGGGUGAGAAUCCCGUCUUGGGCGGGCGGUCCGCGCCCGUGUGAAGCUCCUUCGACGAGUCGAGUUGUUUGGGAAUGCAGCUCUAAGCGGGUGGUAAAUUUCAUCUAAAGCUAAAUAUUGGCCGGAGACCGAUAGCGCACAAGUAGAGUGAUCGAAAGGUUAAAAGCACCUUGAAAAGGGAGUUAAACAGCACGUGAAAUUGUUGAAAGGGAAGCGCUUGCGGCCAGACUCGGGGGCGGGGUUCAGCGGGUGCUCGUCGCCCGUGUAUUCCUCGUCUCCCGGGCCAGCAUCAGUUUCGACGGCCGGUCAAAGGCCCCCGGAAUGUGUCGUCUCUCGGGACGUCUUAUAGCCGGGGGUGCAAUGCGGCCCGUCGGGACUGAGGAACGCGCUCCGGCUCGGAUGCUGGCGUAAUGGCCGUAAGCGGCCCGUCUUGA
RNAcentral lists this ribosomal RNA (559 nucleotides) under Trichophyton mentagrophytes. RNAcentral describes it as "eukaryotic LSU rRNA". It matches the Rfam family "Eukaryotic large subunit ribosomal RNA", at positions 86 to 657 of the family's 3401-position model. Lineage: Eukaryota; Fungi; Ascomycota; Eurotiomycetes; Onygenales; Arthrodermataceae. The record is from RNAcentral.